GACGAACGCUGGCGGCGUGCUUAACACAUGCAAGUCGAACGGAAAGGCCCUGCUUUUGUGGGGUGCUCGAGUGGCGAACGGGUGAGUAACACGUGAGUAACCUGCCCUUGACUUUGGGAUAACUUCAGGAAACUGGGGCUAAUACCGGAUAGGUGCUCCUGCUGCAUGGUGGGGGUUGGAAAGUUUCGGCGGUUGGGGAUGGACUCGCGGCUUAUCAGCUUGUUGGUGGGGUAGUGGCUUACCAAGGCUUUGACGGGUAGCCGGCCUGAGAGGGUGACCGGCCACAUUGGGACUGAGAUACGGCCCAGACUCCUACGGGAGGCAGCAGAGGGGAAUAUUGCACAAUGGGCGGAAGCCUGAUGCAGCAACGCCGCGUGCGGGAUGACGGCCUUCGGGUUGUAAACCGCUUUCGCCUGUGACGAAGCGUGAGUGACGGUAAUGGGUAAAGAAGCACCGGCUAACUACGUG
Molecule: ribosomal RNA, 468 nt
Filed under: uncultured bacterium
Lineage: Bacteria
Description: partial 16S ribosomal RNA
Rfam family: Bacterial small subunit ribosomal RNA
Source: RNAcentral